AUUCCUCCAUGGGAUCAUCUUACAAGGUGUGACCAAAAUAGUGAUGUAGGGCCCUCACAUAGUCAUUCCAAUUCGGCAACCCCUUUCCAAUUUUGGUUUUCACCAUUGCUAGUGCCAUUGUAGAGCUUUGCUUCCAAAUUAAUAGAAGUAAUCUUGGCCUUCGACUCCUCCGGAGUUCCAUCAUAGUCAAAAAACUAUUUGCACCGAUAAAUCCAACCCCGCAAAUCCUCACCCCAAAAUCAUGGAAAGUCGACUCGAUUGUACCUGAAUGAAUUCUGAUUGUGGGUCACACCUCCAUUUUCCAUUGUUGGGGCAGUUGUCGCAGCUAAAGGAGCUGCCAUAUUUUUUGCCAUAGUCAUAAGCAAUUGGCGAAUUUGUUCGAGUGCUCCG
Molecule: long non-coding RNA, 390 nt
Filed under: Capsicum annuum
Lineage: Eukaryota; Viridiplantae; Streptophyta; Magnoliopsida; Solanales; Solanaceae
Description: long non-coding RNA (CANN_LNC001293)
Source: RNAcentral